Molecule: long non-coding RNA, 777 nt
Filed under: Homo sapiens (human)
Lineage: Eukaryota; Metazoa; Chordata; Mammalia; Primates; Hominidae
Description: non-protein coding ARHGEF7-AS2:2
Source: RNAcentral
CCGGGGAGCAGGCGCUCCAGCAGCCUGCAGAGGACCACCCCAUCCUUCAGCGACGCCUGCAGAAAGCCCUCCGGGUCCGAGAUGGUUUUUUUGGGCGACUCCAGCACCCCCAGAGUGAUGAGCCACGUAACGGUGGCGGGGACAGGCUGAAAACGAGACGUUUGUUUCGCUUUGCUACCUUGCAAGCCGGUCAUGACGGAACAGAAAUGAUGGUUCCAUCUGAAGCCAUAUGGGUCUGAAUCGGGAGGAACCGACUCUCCGGAGCGCGGCGCCGACCUCACCGGCAGGGCAGGGGCCUGCGCGACUCUGCUCUAGACGGACGGUGACGCUUCAGACCCUGCCGGGGGAAGGUCAAGGAAACGGCGUGGCCUGAAGUGGGGCUGUGCAGAGGGCCGGGCCGGGCCGGGCCGGGCGCCUGGCUGCGUCUCGGGGACGCCGAAGAUCUGGGCUGUGAAAGCAGCAGGCCGAACCUGGAGAGCCCAGACGGCAAGUGUCGCGUCAUGCGCGAGCUUCCUCGAACAACUGAUGACACGCACACAUUGACAUGCGAGGAAGAAAUGGAGCCUCUUCUUAAAAGGACACGAGUCUCCACUCACUCCAUCCACUGUCCCUGGGCGCUCCCCCAGUUUGCUCGCUAUGACCCGCGGGCAGUUUAACAAGCAAAGCACUUAGUCUAUGCCAGGCACAUACAUUAAUCCAUUCAAUGACAAAGGCUAGAAAGCAUAUAAAGCUUCCAAAAAUAAUCAGAGGCUUAAGUCGUCUCCCCCUGCCUUCUGC